RNAcentral lists this long non-coding RNA (471 nucleotides) under Rattus norvegicus (Norway rat). RNAcentral describes it as "long non-coding RNA NONRATT025095". The record is from RNAcentral. Lineage: Eukaryota; Metazoa; Chordata; Mammalia; Rodentia; Muridae.
UUGGACUGUGUUAAAGACUUCACAACAAGAGAGGUGAAACCUGAAGAGAAUGAAGCCCUGGCAGCCAAAGCAGGCCUCUUAGGCCAACCACGGUAGAGGCCGGAGGCACGGACUUGCACUGAGAGAUUGCCAGCAGCUGUCACAGUCAGAACAAGGAUUCGUCUGGUGGAGAAUCCCCUGACACAGCAAGCGCCGUGGUACAUCAUCUGUCAUGACUACCUGGCCAACGGAAACCACCGGAGAAAAAAUCACUGUUCACCAGAAAGAGUCAAAACAGAAGGCCUUUCUGUGCAGUAGAAAUGGUAAGAUGCAGUGUUGUUGAGGCCUUAAGAUUCGUCUGCGUGGUCACCAUGAUUGCAAAAAUAAACCACUGUUCUUUUCUUUGUGACUGUUAAUUUUAAAAGCAAAAUAUGUGUCCAAUCAUGUAUGAGAUAGAAAAAAUUUAUUACUAAAAGUAAAAUAAGUGAAAAU